Molecule: long non-coding RNA, 299 nt
Filed under: Homo sapiens (human)
Lineage: Eukaryota; Metazoa; Chordata; Mammalia; Primates; Hominidae
Description: HSALNT0298798
Source: RNAcentral
UAUUUAUAUAAUGGUGGAAAUAUUCCAAAAUUCAAUAUUUUGGGAUUUAUACCCAAAAGAUAAACAAAUUAGAGGCCAAGAGGCUGCCGGAAGGGAAAAACGGGGCCUGGGAAGGCCGUUGUGAGGAAUGAGCUGGGCCUAAAGAGGCCACUGGGAGGCAGGAGGAGCUGGGCCUGGAGAGGCUGACUCGAGGAAGUUUUGCACCUGGAGAGGCCGCCGAGAGGACGGACUGGGCCUGGAGAGGCUGACUCGAGGAACUUUUGCACCCGGAAAGGCCGCCGAGAGGCCGUUGCUGGGCC